This 484-nucleotide ribosomal RNA is filed under the name uncultured bacterium. RNAcentral describes it as "partial 16S ribosomal RNA". It matches the Rfam family "Bacterial small subunit ribosomal RNA", at positions 30 to 507 of the family's 1533-position model. The record is from RNAcentral.
AUUGAACGCUGGCGGCAGGCCUAACACAUGCAAGUCGAGCGGAUGAAGGGAGCUUGCUCCUGGAUUCAGCGGCGGACGGGUGAGUAAUGCCUAGGAAUCUGCCUGGUAGUGGGGGAUAACGUCCGGAAACGGGCGCUAAUACCGCAUACGUCCUGAGGGAGAAAGUGGGGGAGCUUCGGACCUCACGCUAUCAGAUGAGCCUAGGUCGGAUUAGCUAGUUGGUGGGGUAAAGGCCUACCAAGGCGACGAUCCGUAACUGGUCUGAGAGGAGGAUCAGUCACACUGGAACUGAGACACGGUCCAGACUCCUACGGGAGGCAGCAGUGGGGAAUAUUGGACAAUGGGCGAGAGCCUGAUCCAGCCAUGCCGCGUGUGUGAAGAAGGUCUUCGGAUUGUAAAGCACUUUAAGUUGGGAGGAAGGGCAGUAAGUUAAUACCUUGCUGUUUUGACGUUACCAACAGAAUAAGCACCGGCUAACUUCGUG